AUUGAACGCUGGCGGCAGGCCUAACACAUGCAAGUCGAGCGGUUGAAGGGAGCUUGCUCCUGGAUUCCGCGGCGGACGGGUGAGUAAUGCCGAGGAAUCUGCCUGGUAGUGGGGGAUAACGUCGGGGAACGGGCGCUAAUACCGCAUACGUCCAGAGGGAGAAAGUGGGGGAUCUUCGGACCUCACGCUAUCAGAUGACCCUAGGUCGGAUUAGCUAGUUGGUGGGGUAAAGGCCUACCAAGGCGACGAUCCGUAACUGGUCUGAGAGGAUGAUCAGUCACACUGGGACUGAGACACGGUCCAGACUCCUACGGGAGGCAGCAGUGGGGAAUCUUGGACAAUGGGCGAAAGCCUGAUCCAGCCACGCCGCGUGUGUGAAGAAGGUCUUCGGAUUGUAAAGCUCUUUAAGUUGGGAGGAAGGGCAGUGAGAGAAUCCCUUGCUGUUUUGACGUUACCAAACGAGUAAGCCCCGGCUAACUUCGUG
RNAcentral lists this ribosomal RNA (484 nucleotides) under uncultured bacterium. RNAcentral's name for it is "partial 16S ribosomal RNA". It matches the Rfam family "Bacterial small subunit ribosomal RNA", at positions 30 to 507 of the family's 1533-position model. The record is from RNAcentral.